Long non-coding RNA from Leucoraja erinaceus (little skate), 3840 nucleotides. RefSeq lists it as uncharacterized. NCBI's taxonomy places the organism in Eukaryota, Metazoa, Chordata, Chondrichthyes, Rajiformes, Rajidae. The transcript has 3 exons. The record is from RefSeq and is a predicted model, not a curated record.
GCACGGCCUUUCCUACAGGAGACCGGCCAGAGCUUCAGCAGCAGUGCAGCACUGAAUUCCAUUGCAGAGCCGGACGAUGCCUUACCAGGGAUCGCCGUGUUGGAGCUCCGGAGUGUUGGACCUGCUGAUUAACACCAUGGAGCUGUGGUAUGCGGAGCUUCAAGCCAUGGGCGACGCUGAUUUUAACAUCGCAGAGUCCUGGGAUCUUUUGCCUAGGGUCGCCAGCAUUGAAUCUCCGCCCAUGUCGGUCUGUGGACUUUGGGAGCUGCGGUCUCCGGUAAGAAGUGGCCGAUUCGCAAACUCCACGCCGCUGAGAGCGUUCUUCCAUUCCGAUGCCAGAGCUCCGAUCAUCCCGGCGAGAGGGCCUGAAUAUCGGGCCGCAGGAGCGGUGACUGCGGAGGCCUCAAAGGCCCCGGCCACGGGUGAACAAGAGGACGGUGACUGAACUUUAUUGCCUUCUCUCACAGUAGGAAACGUUGAUUCCGCUGGGUGGAAUGUUCAUGUUAAAUUCUAUCGUGUAUUGUGUUAUUUUUAUUCAUAUGGCUGUAUGGUAACUCAAAUCUCACUCUACCAAUUGGUGCAUGUGACAAUAAAUGUAACUUGAACUUGAACUUGAAUUGGCUUAGCUAUUAAAAAAAAAGAUACAAAAAGCUGGAGUAACAGCAGGUCAGGCAGCAUCAUUGGAAAAAGGAAUAGAUGACGUUUCAGGUCGAGACACCAAUGGUGCUUUAUUGUCACAUGCGCAAAUGCACAGCGAGAUUAUUUUGUUACAAACAGUCCAGUAGAAUAUUGCCACACCCAAGCACAUCCCAAUUAGCUACGUGAACAAGAAUAGUCUACUGAUCCCGCAUGCAUGCAGUAGAGAUCGAGGGUUUGUAAGUUGCAAUAGCCCACGUGAUAAGAUUCCGAGUCUGAGAAUGAUGAACGAGUAAUCUGGCUGCAUUUUAAUAUUUUAAAUUCUAAUAAAUGUUUCAGGAAACAUUGUUUUGAAAAAUAAAAUUGGAAACUGUGACCAUGCAACUUCUUGCUCUCUUGGUGUUUUUGAUGUUUCUUUAUUUUACAUGUCUUUUCCUACUAUUUCUUUUGAUUGUUAUUUUUGGUGUGUAUAAACUUUUUUGUCAAUGAUUAGUGAUGUGCAGCACUUUGUUGCAGCUAUGUUUGUUUUUAAAGUGCUCUAUAAAUAAAAUUAUUAUUAUUAUUAUUAUAGCCCAUCCCUUCUACUCCGCUGAGUUUGGAUAAGACUCAGUCCCAGGAUAUUAUAAUCAACCUGUAACAUGACUGGCAGGUAGUUUGUCAUUUUUUCUUCACAUUUUUCACCCACCAAAAUACGGUGCCCGCUAUAAAAGUGAAACUGAAUUUUAAUUUCUGGUGAGCACAAUACUAAUUGAUAAUAUUACUUUUACCUCAGCAUAUGAAGUUCAUUCUAAUUCAGGGCUAAACAAAGGGGAAGAAAAUAAAGGGAGAACUACCAAUAAUUUCAUCCAAAAUAACUUCUUAUUUUCAUAAUGGAGAGAAACGUCUUAUUUUCAAAAUGCUGGAGAAACUCAGCAGGUGAGGCAGCAUCUAUGGAGAUCAUAAUAUUCAUAAUUCUACAAUCAUUUAACUGUCAAACAAGCUUGUUCACUUACUUUCUAUGAAACUGGAACAUCUGAUAUAACUAACUUGCUAUGAACUACUAUACAGGCUCUGGAAUAAAGGCAGAACGGAAUUCAGUUUGUUCGAGAAAUGCUUAGAUAAACAAGUUAUUUCCCAUUGUUUUCAUGCUGGAAACUGUUCUGUUCCAACACAAACACUAAAUGAUAAAAAUGACCCCACAUUGGGUUACAUGACCAAAAAACAUUACUUAAUGCUCUUUUCACAUGGGAACAUCUGUGGCACACAAGGGAGAUUAAACACACACUGAAGCUAGUUCUCAUGUUUGGACAAGGCAGUUAUUUUGGUAGUGCAAUAUUUUAUUUCUAUAUUUGUCCCAAAAGUAUUAAAGCACACCACAUUAGUUAUGUUCAUCCUUUCCCUUUCAGCUCAAAGAAACAUUCCUUUGAACUGAAAGAGAGAAAGCAGCAAAGCAUCAUUUAGUAUAAGGUAGUUGACCGAAGAUUGUUUCAACCCAUUUUUAAUGCACUAAAACAAGGCCCCUUUAAGCACCUUAAUCACAAAACAGAAACAUCUAAAAUUCCGCAAUCCACCUAGAAAUGGCAUGGUUUACAUUCAGAAACGAGCUCUACAUUAAGAUCUGUUCCAGUCAAAACAGGACCUCAUCAUAUUUGUAUUGGCCUCAAUACUUUGAUAGCCCUUAAAGACACUAUGACUAUGAUAGCCUGACACCAUGGAGGGAAUGGUGAUAGUAUCUGCAAUCACUCAAAGAAUCAUGCAUACCUUGAUCAGAGAGGUUACACACUGGAUGAGAGGGUCCAUCCCCACCAUGAAAGCUCGGCAUGAGAUGACUGGUCAUCUCCAGAAUGAGUAUCCCAUGCAGUGAAGCAAUGCUAAAGUUCAAGAUUUCAUAAGAUACAUCCAAGUGAUCUGCACAACUCAGUACCUGGAGACCAGAAACCCCGAAAUAUAUAUUUUUAAAUGUAGAGGGCUUAGUUCUUCAAGAAAGGUACCACUCAUCAGCAAGCUAGUUACUCUGGUUACUCUCUCUUAGUACUGGUGUUGAUUGUACGUAUUAUAAUUGCGCUAAACUGCUGAGAUAAGUUCAUAAGUUAAUGUCAUAGGAGCAUAAUUAGGCCAUUGAGUCCAUCAAGUCAAUUCCGCCAUUCAAUCAUGGCUGAUCUAUCUGUUUUUCUCAACUCCAUUCGCCUGCCUUUUCCUUAUUCGGGAAUGUUGGUGCAAGAUUCCCAAAAAGUUAACUUGCAAGUCAAAUCAGUAGUUAAGAAAGCAAACGCAAUGCUGGCAUUGAUUUAGAGACGGCUUAUAUACAAAAAAAAAGGAUGUAAUGCUGAGGCUCUGUAAGGCGCUGGUCAGGCUGCAUUUGCAAUAUUGUGAGCAAAUUUUGUCACCAUAUCUGAGGAAGGAUAUGCUGGCUCUGGAACGGGUCCAGAGGAGGGUCCAGAAUGAUCCCAGAAAUUACUAGGUAAACAUAUGAACGUUUGUCAGCACUGGGUUUAUAUUCGCUGGAGUUUAGAAGAAUGAGGGACCUCAUUGAAAUGUACAGAAUAGUGAAAGGCUUGGAUAGAGUGGAUGUGGAGAGGAUCUUUCCACUACUGAAAGAAAGUCUUGGGUGAGAGGUCAUAGCCUCAGAUUUAAAGGACGUUCUUUUAGGAAGGAGAUGAGGAGGAAGUUCUUUAGUCAGAGGGCGGUGAAUCUGUGGAAUUCUUUGCCACAGAAAACUGUGGAGGCAAAGUCAGUGGAUAUAUUUAAGGCAGAGAUAGAUAUAUUCUUGAUUAGUAUGGGUGUCAGAGGUUAUGGGGGAGAAGGCAGGAGAAAGGGGUUAGGACGGAGAGAUAGAUCAGCCACGAAUGAAUGGUGGAGGAGACUUGAUGGGCCGAAUGACCUAAUUCUACACCUAUCACAUGAUCUAACCUUUGACACUUACUAAUCAAGAGUCUGUGAAUCUUGCCUUAAAAAUGUGAAGGAUAGCCAUUAAUCCGGAAAAUGUCUGGAAUUGCAAACCACUUUAGGGUGACUGCCAUGUUUCCAGGAAACUUGACUUUCCCUAUUAAGAAAUUCUUCUCAGACCCACAACAACCUGCAGGGUGAGGUAGUGGGAACCUUUCCUGUUCAUUAAAUAAAAUGUAAGAGGAACCCUUUCAAGUGCAUGAGAGCAGUCAGUGGGUAUCUACAUUGUUGGGAGCCAAUAAUGUUGCAAAUCCCAGUUACUUCCUCCUCAGUUAAUUC